GACGAACGCUGGCGGCGUGCCUAAUACAUGCAAGUUGAGCGCUGAAGGUUGGUACUUGUACCGACUGGAUGAGCAGCGAACGGGUGAGUAACGCGUGGGGAAUCUGCCUUUGGGCGGGGGACAACAUUUGGAAACGAAUGCUAAUACCGCAUAAAAACUUUAAACACAAGUUUUAAGUUUGAAAGAUGCAAUUGCAUCACUCAAAGAUGAUCCCGCGUUGUAUUAGCUAGUUGGUGAGGUAAAGGCUCACCAAGGCGAUGAUACAUAGCCGACCUGAGAGGGUGAUCGGCCACAUUGGGACUGAGACACGGCCCAAACUCCUACGGGAGGCAGCAGUAGGGAAUCUUCGGCAAUGGACGAAAGUCUGACCGAGCAACGCCGCGUGAGUGAAGAAGGUUUUCGGAUCGUAAAACUCUGUUGGUAGAGAAGAACGUUGGUGAGAGUGGAAAGCUCAUCAAGUGACGGUAACUACCCAGAAAGGGACGGCUAACUACGUG
RNAcentral lists this ribosomal RNA (497 nucleotides) under uncultured bacterium. RNAcentral's name for it is "partial 16S ribosomal RNA". It matches the Rfam family "Bacterial small subunit ribosomal RNA", at positions 28 to 507 of the family's 1533-position model. The record is from RNAcentral.